CAACUCUGCAGCUGAUUGACAAUUAUAUAUUUUUUAUGUGGUUGAUGGAGAUAAAAAGAAAAGUUAAAAAGUGCAGAAAUUUUAGAAUUAAAAAUUUAAUAGAAAACGGGAAAAUGCAAAUCCACAAUGAAUAAUCAAUACCUAGUUUUCCUCUAACAAUAAAACCAAUUAAUACGUGUUAAUUAUUAACAAACGAGCACUGGAAACAAGUCGAAAAACACCGAGAGUGUGUGUCAAACGUAGAAGAAAAAAACAUCAAUUUUUUUUCUCAUUGACGGACAAGUAACAAGAUAAAUGUGAAAAAAUGUAAAAAUAGAUUGCAAAACAAGCCCAAGAGCAAAACUAGAAAUGUGUUAAGAGAAUUUGAAGAAAAUUCUAAGCCGAGUUUUUGUGGAAAAUUACGCAAAAAUUUACUAUAUAUCUCCACACCCACUUAUCGGAACCCGUGAAAAAACAACAACAACAAAAUAUAGAAAACAAGAUUCCUUUGGUCAUGUGUGAGUGUGUGUGUUGUGUGAUGGAUGAUUUUUCUCCCCACUUCUACUCAAUAAUGUGUGCUGCGUAAGCCAAAGUAUGUGUGUGUAAAUGCAAUUUUUUCUAUUUAGCUGCUAUCACAGAUUAAUUAUAAUUAUCUGGAAAGAAAAAAACAUAAAAAGCAGAUUAGUAAGCUUCUAAAAUGCAAAAUAAUAUAAUAUGUCAAUAAAAAUUGUAAAAGCCAACUCCCUUUGAAUAGCGAAGUGGCCAAGAGAAAGAAAAGAAAAAAAGGCAUCUAUUGAACACAAACAAAAACAAAUCCAAACGGCCCAUCAAGCAAAUACCGAUCGAAACCAACUACAAAAAGUUGCUGACGGCGAACAAGAGAAAAACAACAGAACCUAAGAAGUCGCAAAAGUACGAAGGUGGACUAGGUAUCAUAUUUUUCCCCUCUAAAUAAAAGUUGCCGUAAUGGCAACGCAACUGGAUCCUAAUGUCAAAGAUGACCUGAAGACACAGUUUAUAACACGAGAGGGUACCUAUCGACUUCUUACCCUCUCCGAGUACUCACGACCCAAUCGUGUGGGCUAUACCAAUAAUCAGAGUUCACCACAAGUGCGAGUUUCGAUAGUUACCUUGCCAAAUCCACCGGCUGGCGCUGCUAGUAAUGGUAAUGGUGGUUCCUUGGCGGGGGCCGGCUCUUCUGCGAAUCCUGUAAAUGGUACAAAUGGUCGAAACGUCAACGUAAGCAAUUCAUCAUCAUCAACAGCGACCACAUCUUCAAAUGGAGCUGGUGGCAAUAAUAAUAGUUCAGCAAAUGGUGGUGAUACCUAUGAUGUUGGCCUGCAAUCGUCAUCGUCACUGAAUGGACCGGUAUUAUCAUCGCAAUCCCAGUAUGUUGUACCCUCAUCAAUGGAUGCACGUUUGGGUGCCGGCAUGUCAAUGCACACCAUGAUGAAUGGGUCCGGUGGUGUGGGCGGUGGUGCCAAUGGUGGUAUCGAUCAGAAUGGUAUGCCUGUAAACCAGGUGUUGGGUGGUGAUCGCAUAUGUUUCAAUUUCGGCCGAGAAUUAUAUGUAUAUGCAUUUCGUGGUGUAAAGAAGGGUGCCGAACUAAGUAAGCCAAUUGAUAGGAAAUUCUACAAAGGUACCAAUCCCAGCUGUCAUGAUUUUAAUGCCACCACAGCAACACCUACUGGCGCGCCUUUACUGGUGGGCUUUACAACGGGACAAAUACAAUUGGUUUCACCACAGCCAGGACCACGUGAAUAUCGAAAACUUUACAAUGAAGAUCGUCUUAUUGACAAAACCAAAGUGACCUGCUUAAAAUGGCUGCCAAAUUCACCAAAUCUCUUUUUGGCCUCACACGCGUCGGGACACCUGUAUCUAUACAACGAGAAUCUACAAUGUCCACCGACGGCGCCCGUCUAUCAGUCCUUCAAAAUGGGCGAUGGCUAUUCAAUACUAACCUGCAAAUCGAAAUCGAGUAGAAAUCCUCUCUACAAAUGGGUUUUCAACACCGAGAACUGUUGUAUAAAUGAGUUUUGCUUCUCACCAUGUGGUUCAAAUUUAGCAAUAGUAUCUCAAGAUGGCUUUCUCAGAGUGUUUCAUUAUGACACAAUGGAAUUGUUGGGUAUAGCGCGUUCCUAUUUUGGUGGUUUUUUAUGUGUAUGCUGGUCACCGGAUGGCAAAUAUAUUGUGGUGGGUGGGGAAGAUGACUUAGUCACAGUGUGGUCAUUUCAUGAGCGACGGGUUGUGGCCCGAGGUCAGGGUCACAGAUCGUGGGUUUCAGUGGUGGCUUUUGACCCAUACACCACUUCAUAUACCUCGUGGGAUGGUGGAGACUUUUCGGAUGAUGAGAAUCAAAUAAUGGAGUAUUCAACGGCAGGAUCACGAUAUGCGGGUGAUCAGUCGUCGGCAGUGAAUGGUUACGAUUCGUAUGGUGGAGCUGCGGGUGGUCACGAUAAAAACUCAACGCCCAUUCACACACGACAGAGGCCCCAGUCGGCGUCAUUUCGUUCGGAGGCCUCUUCAUUGGCUCCAGAUAAAUUAGCCAUAAGUUAUCGUUUAGGUUCUGUUAGUCAAGACACUCAAAUAUGUUUGUGGGACAUCACCGAGGAUAUACUAAGGCAUCCUUUGUCCCUGCGCCAGCGUGUGAAUAGUUCUAAUUUGAACGACUCUAGUUUUAUGAAUGGCGGCACAGACGCCGAUGGUGUGAAAGUCAUACGACCAGUGGCCAUAGGCCAUCCUAACUUCCCCCAGCCACAGCACUGUAGUAGUCCUACCAAAGAUAUGCAGACCAGCAAUAUAACGACCACACCACAGACAUCAGCAGCUUCAGGAGAACAAAAUAGUAAUAGUAGUUCUAGUAAAUUUUCCACAGCCAAUUGUACGAUAUCAUCGCAAUCUUCUAAUGCCAAUACGCCACCCGACGAUAGCUCGGUAACGGCGUCCACGUCGACAAAAGCCAAUUCGAAAGCGAUUUCAAAUGCCAUUAGUAGCAGUGGUGGCGGUGGAGGGUCAAUAAAAUUUCCUAAUUGCAUAACAACCACUAAGUCGGACUCAAUAGAUGGUAACAUAACUGGAAAUCAUGUCAACACACUCUCUUCAUCAUCGGGCUACAAUAGCAAAACAUCGAACAGCAGCAAAUCUUCAGAUUCGGGAAUGUCGGCAUUCAACUCGCUAACCCAACGUCUAUCAAAUUUCUCAUUUCUCAACUCAUCCGACAAGAAAUCUCUAAAUCUAGAGGGUGGCAGUACACGGGCGAAUCGUCGCACCCUAAGUCUACUCAAAUCGUAUAAUCAUCGUAAUUCCUCCACACUAAAUCAUCAUCAUCAUCAUAGCAAUCACCAGCAUAUGGCAAAUUCAACACAAAUUGAAACAAAUGCAAAUUCAACGUCAACAUCGUCGCACAGUUUCGGUUCUCUCAAGCUGGGCAAAUCGUCGUCGUCACAUCAACAUCACCACAAUUCAUUGUCACACAACAUGUCGAAUUGCUCGCCAUCGUCAACAACCAAUUCAAUUAUAACAUCAUAUGACCCACUGAAAUUGAUUGGUACACCAGCGUGUCCCCGUUUCGAUGAGUGUCCACUGUUGGAGCCGUUGGUGUGCAAAAAGAUCGCUCAUGAGCGUUUGAGUGCAUUAAUAUUUCGUGAAGAUUGUUUUCUAACGGCAUGUCAGGAUGGAUUUAUUUAUACAUGGGCUAGACCGGGUUAUUCAACGAAUGUUCCGCAACAUUUAUCGCCAACGCAAACAGCACCGCCCGGCGGUACGGUAAUAUAGUUCGAUAAAAUUAAUAUAAAACAGUAUCAUAAGAAUUUAGAGAAAUUAAAUCACUAUACUCCAAGUCAUCCUACAAUUACUACUUCUACUGUUAGUACUAUAAUCACUUCUACUACUACUACUCCCUCCUGUACUACUCUUGUAACAACAACAACAACAACAGCAGCAACUACUAUGGUAACUUUAGCGCCAACAACAACAACAAAUAUUCUCUGUUUAACCACAGGUGAGCAAAGAGUGUAAAAACAAAAGAAAUCUGAUGAUAAUAUUAUUUAGGAAACAAAAAAUAAAAAUGGUUUUUAUAAAAAACUUUUUUUAUACAAUUCCUUUAUUUUUGAUAUGUAAAAAAAACGAAACUAAUAAUAACAACAAAAUGCAUAUUAUUACAUAACAAUAAAAGGCAUAAAUAUGCAUCAUAAACCAAUUAACCGAGAAAAUAAUAUGUUAUAGCCUCUUCUCUCAUACCCUACUUUCUUAUUAGUUUUUUGUUAAAUAUUUUUAAAAAGUUAAUACAUAAAUAAUAUUAAAUAACAACAACAAGUUUAUAGUAAUAUUAAAACAUAAAUUAAAUAAAUUACAAAAUAAGUAAACAAAACCUACAAAAAUAAUAUUUUUUUCAUAAAUUUAUUUCUAAAGCAAAAGUGUAUAGUAAUUUUUUUGGAAUGGAAAUAAUCGUUAGCCCAUGAAUGAGUGAAUGAAUGAAAUUAUGUAGUCAGAGACUCAUGUUGUAUAUAUAUAUAUUUUUUUUUUGUUUUAAUUUGCUUUCCAGACUUUGAGAUAAUUGAAAAUACGCGUUAAUAUUCCGUAAAAUGUGAAUUUUAAAACAAAACAUGUUGUGAUAACUUUAGUAGUGUUAUAUAACUGUUUUCAAUGUUUCGAAAAUUUAAAAUAUGUAUGUUUUAUCUUUAAGGAGGAUAUUUUAGCUAAAAAAAAAUAAUUUGUAUGGCGAAUAAGGAACCGUUUUUGUCCCUGCUGACAACAUUUUGAGGUUUCAGAUUUACUACAUAAAUGAAUUAAGAUUUGUAAAUAUUUUCAAGUAUUGCUCAACAUGUCUAAGGGAAAACAAGUAAGCAACAGCUAUAGUUGUGCGGGGCCGACCAUGUGAUACCCUACAGCCCUCCGCCGUGUUGUUAGUUGUUGUGGUCCAUUUUAUAGCUGAAUAUAAUCCAAUGGUCAUCCAAAAUUCUAGAAUUUCUCUCUUCUGAGGCGUGUCGACGAUUGGCUUCAAUUGUGUGAUCAGAUUUUUUUCUCUUUUUGGUUCAUUUUAACCCCUAAAUAUUUUGCGAUCAUCUCCAAAAGCAAGAGGCCCAUCUGUAUCUCCAAAUUUAGACUCAUCUAUUUGAUUAAUUUGUCUACGAUAUUUGGCUACAUUCGUCAACGAAAUCAGCAUAAAAAGCCAGAUGUUCGCCUUUUGUGUAUUUCGGAUAUCGCCUGUAAGUAAUGUUGGUAUUUUUUCACACAAAAGUAGUGGUCCAUUCUAGCCGCUGUCCUAAACUCUAACUUAAUGCGAGAUUUCGUAUCCUUUGGUUUUUAUUUGCGACUUUUAUAACGGCUGCAAACUCAGGAACAUUUCAGUUUGCCAAAAUCGGUCCAGCCAUUCUUGAGAUAUAAGCAUUCUAGCUAACAUCUCCUUACUUUGUAUAUACACAUUGUAUAUAUUUCGCUAUAUAUCCGAUAUAUUUACUAUCGGCAUCUACGUAACGGUCAGAAUUCACCUUUCCGUCUAUUUGUGUUUUUGGUGGUAUUAAAAAUAUUCGCGGUUUAAUGGGAAAUUUGACUGGUACACAAAUGUUAUGGUCUAUUUCACCCAAUAAAUAUUACCCGAUGACCAUCAUUGGAAGGCUGCUGAACAACCCUAAGCUCAAUCACAUUCUGAGUCAAUUUAUGCAUGUCCGUCCGUCUGACUGUCCGUCUGUCCAUGUAUUUUUGUAAACAAAGUACAGGUCGCAUUUAUUGCCCGAUUCAGAUAAAAUUUUGCACAAAUAAUUGUUCCAAGGACGAACCCUAUUGAAAUUGUAUGGAUUUGCAUAUAUGACCAGAUUGGACCUGAAAAUAAGUAUGCUAAAUUUGAUCGAAAUCGGUUCAUAUAUAGAUAUAGCUCCCAUAUAUAUUGUUUAUUUUUCGUCCUCCGCAGCCGUAGUAUGCACUCUGUAACAACGAUAUUUGGGGAAAUAUAUCAAAUAGAACUCAGAAAUACCCUUAUUCAAUUUUAUGGAGAUCGGUUAAUAUUUGAAUAUAGCUCCCAUAUAUAUCCUCGUCCGAUUUGCUUUUUAUUGUGCACCAAACGUGUAAUAUUAGCCCAAAUGGAAUGGAAUUUUGUAUUUACGACCGAAUUGAGUCUAGAAACCAGUAUGUCAACUUUGGUGGAAAACGGUUCAGAUAUAGCUAAAGCUCCCAUACAUAUUGUUCAUCCGAUUUGUUGAAUUUGCCCUGCAUAGCCGUAAUAUGGAUUCCGUAGUGACAAUAUUCGGGAAAUAUAUCAAAUACAGCUCAGAAAUACCUUUGCCAAAUUUUAUAGAGAUCGGUUCAGAUAUAGCUCUCAUAUAUAUCUAUCCGAUUUCAGGUUAAUUGUGCACCAACUGGAUAAUACAAGCCUGAAUUGAAAAGGAGGAUAUUCCUCCUAUAUAUUACUUCCUUUACUAUAAAAUAUAUAAAUACUAUAAAUUAUUACUAUAAUCAUAGUUGGUAUGAUUUAACUCUCACAAAUUCGCCAUUAAAACUUUUAUUUGUUAUGUGAAGCUCUACUAAAUAUGCAAAGUGGUGUAGUGUAUUAUAAAGUCGGCACGCCCGACUUUAAUACUUUCUUUACUGGUUUUAAUUCGAGAUUCGCUGAAAAUUUUGGAAGAUCAACAAAACUUCUUCAUAAGAGGAGCGAGGGGGGAGUUUCCUCUUGGCAUAUUUUUUUACAUGCAUAAUUUUUUGUGUAUCUGAAAAAUUAUUUCGCCAAAAAAAACAUUACAAAUUAAUCUAAAUUUUAAAAAUUAUCAGUGUAUUUGAAUGCUUUUAACUAUUUCGAGCCUAUAUGGGGGCUAUAAGCUAUAUAAGGUCAAAUUAAAUGACUAUAAAAUGUAUUUAUUUAGUAUUUGGAAGUUGUUAAAUCUACUAUAUUUAAAAAACAGUUAUAUAUUUUAAACAGCAAAAGAAAAGUUUGUUAGACUUGAACAUUUGAAAGGUUUCUCAAAAGAAAAUAAAAACUGAAUCUCAAAUUGUUUAUGUUUUGGAAAUAAUUUCAGUAAUUAAUUAUUUUUUUGGAGUUCACCAAAGAUUUGUAUUGUUUGUAAAAAUUACAAGGAUAGCAGCCUUUAUGAUUCUUAAUUUAAAAAAUAAUUAUUAUUAUUCAUAUAUUAUAUCAUAUUACGAUUAUUCAAGAAAAUAUGUGUUAUGUAUAAAGAAAAAAUAUUACAAUAUUUACUUCCUAAAUAAUUUUGCCUUAUAGUUAAUUUAUCCAUUUAUUAUAAGUUAACACUUUUUAAAAUAAAAAACCUAAAAAAUAAUAAAAACAAAUCAAAAUAAAUCUUUUUUAAAUACAGCGUGUUCCCAAUUUAUUAUUACAAAAAAAAAGAAACAUGAAAAGAAAACUUGUAAAUGUUAAAUGAACAAUUCAACUAUAAAUUGAUAUCAAAUAAAAUAUAUAUAAAAAACAAAACUACUGUUAUAUAACAACUACCAUCUUUAAAAGCUAAGAAAAAAAAACAAAUAAAUAUAUUUAAAUGUUAUUACAACAUACAACAAAAAUGAAUCAUUCAAGUUUUGGAGCAAGUAACACAAAGCAAUACUCGUGGAAGAACAAUCUUUAUUGAAAAGAAUUUACAUUCUAAAGAAAACCAACCAACAAAGAUUAGCCCCUUUUGCCGAAAACCCUACCCAUGUAUUUGCAAUUAUAAAUUGUUUUUUAAUUUUUUUUUUAUUUUUGUUUAACCUCUUUAAUGUAUUUUAUAAAAAGAGAUUUUUUAUUAUAUGUAUAUGAUUUUAGUAUUAAUGCAUCGUAAUUGACAUUGUUUGUUCCCAUAGUGAAAUUGUUUACUUAGUUUUUAAGUUUUAAAACACACAUAUAUUUCAAAUUUAAUGCAAAGAGUUAAUAGGGAUCCGAACGUUUUACUGUGACAAUUUGAUCUUUGAUUAGCCUUACACUCCUUGCAAUAUGUGUUUCAUACACAUCUCGGAGAAUUAUCGGAAUGUUCCUAUCUGUUGAUAUAGUCCAUUGGGGUUGAGCAGACCGUCGUCAUGCCGAAGUUUGUAUUUAUGUUGUGAGCGAUAUGAGCUAAUUACUCUUAAUUAUGACUUCUAUUUUACAUAAAAACUUAUUUUCCCCAUGGCGACUAAUUUUCAAAUGGAACUCUCUGCUUUACCUCCAGAAUACUACAAUGUCAGUUAGAAAGGCACGCUCGAAUUCGUACAACAUUAUUUCCCCUAUUAAUCCAAAAAAAAGUGAACGGAAAAUCAGUAAAAAUUUCAAAAUUAAUUGCAAUCCUUCAAACAGUUUUUGUCCUAUGGCUGGUGCGCACGGUAACUCUCGAAUGGAGUAUCCGAAUUGGUCCAAACUUGGUACAUCGUAAUAUUAUUAUCAAACUUAGAUCGAGUUCGAAGAUGGUCAUUAUCGGUCCAUUCCUUCUGAUACCUCUCCCACAAAAAGAGAAAUGAUCAUUCAAUUUUGUGAAAAUUUUGAAAAUCCCACUAUUUGUAUUAGUGCUAGCAGCUGCGAGAAGGGAAAAAUUUUAAAUAAUUAUAACUCUUAUUAAAAUGUGAAAUAAAAGUCCGAGUAUCUUCAAAUUUCGCACAUCUCAAUAUUUCCACUAAAAUAAGGUUUGAUGUGGAGAUCGUAGAUAUCGGCUCACUUCUUCUGGUACCUUCUUCACAGAGGUUAAAAAUAUUCAAUAAGUUUGGAUAUCAUAAAACUGAAAUGAGUAUCCGAUUCCUUUUAAACUCGGCACAUCCCAACAUUUCUAUGAACAAAAGAUCGGGUGUGAAGAUGGAAUACAGGGUGAUAUAAAAGAACUGCAACAAAGUUAAACGGCAUUAUUUUUACAUUUUUUUUAAAUUUUAUUGAAUGAAAGCAAAAAUGUCGGAAAAAGCAUCAAAUUUUAGAAUAUGUUUUCACACACUGCCCGAUUGUUGCUCUGCAGUAUUUUGGCCCAUUCCCGGCGAUGAACUUGAUUGUGGUGAUCGACACUUUUGUAUUUUUUAGUGCCAACCUUGCUUUCCAAAAUACUACAGACACAAUAGUCCAACGGAUUGGUAUCCGGAGAUUUUUGUGGCCAUUGUGCGCCACUAUUCUUGGGUGGCGCGCGCUGAGGGCGAUGGUGCUGAGUCCUGUUGAAAUGUCCAACGUCUGCGGACAAAAUUUUUGUGUGCCUAAGGCUUUAAUAUACCCUCCAAAAUAUUUUCGCGAUAA
Molecule: RNA transcript, 9145 nt
Organism: Musca domestica (house fly)
Lineage: Eukaryota; Metazoa; Arthropoda; Insecta; Diptera; Muscidae
Gene name: WD repeat-containing protein 20-like
Exons: 5
Source: RefSeq, a predicted model, not a curated record